GACGAACGCUGGCGGCGUGCUUAACACAUGCAGGUCGAACGUGAUUUUUGUGGAAAUUCUUUCGGGAAUGGAAAUGAAAUGAAAGUGGCGAACGGGUGAGUAACACGUGAGCAACCUACCUUACACAGGGGGAUAGCCGUUGGAAACGACGAUUAAUACCGCAUGAGACCACAGAAUCGCAUGAUAUAGGGGUCAAAGAUUUAUCGGUGUAAGAAGGGCUCGCGUCUGAUUAGCUAGUUGGAAGGGUAAAGGCCUACCAAGGCGACGAUCAGUAGCCGGUCUGAGAGGAUGAACGGCCACAUUGGAACUGAGACACGGUCCAAACUCCUACGGGAGGCAGCAGUGGGGAAUAUUGCACAAUGGGGGGAACCCUGAUGCAGCGACGCCGCGUGAGCGAAGAAGGUUUUCGAAUCGUAAAGCUCUGUCCUAUGAGAAGAUAAUGACGGUAUCAUAGGAGGAAGCCCCGGCUAAAUACGUG
This 478-nucleotide ribosomal RNA is filed under the name uncultured bacterium. RNAcentral's name for it is "partial 16S ribosomal RNA". It matches the Rfam family "Bacterial small subunit ribosomal RNA", at positions 28 to 507 of the family's 1533-position model. The record is from RNAcentral.